RNAcentral lists this ribosomal RNA (253 nucleotides) under uncultured bacterium. RNAcentral describes it as "partial 16S ribosomal RNA". It matches the Rfam family "Bacterial small subunit ribosomal RNA", at positions 524 to 776 of the family's 1533-position model. The record is from RNAcentral.
CACGUAGGGCGCAAGCGUUGUCCGGAAUUAUUGGGCGUAAAGCGCUCGUAGGCGGUCUGUUGCGUCCGCUGUGAAAACUCGGGGCUUAACCCCGAGCCUGCAGUGGAUACGGGCAGACUAGAGGUAGGUAGGGGAGAAUGGAAUUCCCGGUGUAGCGGUGAAAUGCGCAGAUAUCGGGAGGAACACCGGUGGCGAAGGCGGUUCUCUGGGCCUUACCUGACGCUGAGGCGCGAAAGCUAGGGGAGCAAACGGG